AUACUAAUAUAUUUGGUCGUAUAACCCUAAUAAUAAGGCUUAGGGGUCUCUACCAGGAGCCGUAAAUUCCUGAUUACGAAGAAAGUUAUGU
Molecule: non-coding RNA, 91 nt
Filed under: human gut metagenome
Description: Purine riboswitch
Rfam family: Purine riboswitch aptamer
About the family: Riboswitches are metabolite binding domains within certain messenger RNAs that serve as precision sensors for their corresponding targets. Allosteric rearrangement of mRNA structure is mediated by ligand binding, and this results in modulation of gene expression.
Source: RNAcentral